This 394-nucleotide ribosomal RNA is filed under the name uncultured eukaryote. Its description in RNAcentral is "SSU rRNA". It matches the Rfam family "Eukaryotic small subunit ribosomal RNA", at positions 587 to 972 of the family's 1831-position model. The record is from RNAcentral. RNAcentral also lists the same sequence under 1 other name.
AGCUCCAAUAGCGUAUAUUAAAGUUGCUGCAGUUAAAAAGCUCGUAGUUGGAUUUGUGGCGCGGCCGUCCGGCGGGGCUCCUUCAUUGGGGCCGUUUGUCUGGUUCUUCGGCCGCCCCAUUCUCGGGUAGUGUGUCGCUGGCAUUAGGUUGUUGGCUUCUUCACGCCCGUCGUUUACUGUGAAAAAAUUAGAGUGUUCAAAGCAGGCUUAGGCCGUUGGAUACAUUAGCAUGGAAUAAUGAGAUAGGGCCACGGCGGUCUAUUUUGUUGGUUUGCACGUUGUGGUAAUGAUUAACAGGAACGGUUGGGGGUAUUCGUAUUCAAUUGUCAGAGGUGAAAUUCUUGGAUUUAUGGAAGACGAACUACUGCGAAAGCAUUUACCAAGGAUGUUUUCA